This 1313-nucleotide long non-coding RNA is filed under the name Ananas comosus (pineapple). RNAcentral's name for it is "long non-coding RNA (ACOM_LNC037790)". The record is from RNAcentral. Lineage: Eukaryota; Viridiplantae; Streptophyta; Magnoliopsida; Poales; Bromeliaceae.
CAAAAAAUAAAAUAGAAAAGACGAGAGAGGAAGAAGACAAAUCAAAGAAUCUGGUACGUUGUUGUGGAAGCAAAAGGAAACUGAUAAUAAUGAAGAAAAGUCACCAGGAUGAUGCACCGUAUGUCACGCCCCGCGACCAACCGCCAAUUUGGACCGGGUCGCGGCGCCGCCGACAGACCGCCGAACGGACCGGGAAUUCCCCUGUACGCGGACAGAGUCUCCCCAGUACGUCCAAGACGUCGCAAUCCAAACAAUCAACGAAUGUUCUAACAAGGAACGGAUAUCAAUCCAGAUUGCAUAAGGAAGUGUCAAAUACAUAAUCUACUUGCUAUUACAAGCAUUCAUUUCACAACCACGUUUUACAUCACAGUUUCUGUUUACAUUUUUACUUCCAAAUUACAAUCUCACUAUUACAUCAGAGUUUACAAAUUUGAUACAUUUUCUUUUCUUGUCUUCUAGACCCCUAAGCUAGAUUGUCUCAGGGUACUGCUACCUCGGUCUCUGUGGUGGGGCGCUAUCUACUGAGCUACGCCCUCGCCUCGCGCCGCCGCGCCGCACACGAACGACCUGAAAACCCCAAAACAACGUGGGGUGAGAACCAACUCCAUGGUUCCCAGUGGGUACGGCCACCCAAGGGAAAAGCUCGACCGAUAGGUCCGAGGAGGCACUGCAACAUGUUAGUUCAACAAUAUACAACAGAUAUAUAUAUUCAAUUGAAAUACAUGCCAUGCCUCACAAUAUGCGAUAUGAAAAUCAUGCAACAACUAGUAGAUCAUUUGAAUUCUACUUUUACUUGGCUACUUUAGCUCAUAACUUUACUCUAAGGUUUCUAUUACCUUAGGAUCACAACACCAACCACUAGCUUCUAAGGUUUCUAUUACCUUAGCUCAAGCCUCUAUCUCUGGCUCAUAAGGGUUCCUCUACCCUAUCAUAGCUAACCACCCGACUCGGCUUCGAGUCAAUCAUCUGCGGAUAGUCCGCGCACUGGCUGCUCAACAGCCUACCGCACUCUCUCUGACUCAGCCUCCUAGCGGCGAAAUCGUCGCACACGCUGAACACGGCUCGAGUCGCAUGACUUGACCAUCGGUGGCGAUUGCGUUGCACUUACCCAGCGUGAAUCGAGACAUGACAUACCGUCUGGCGGUGAACGGGUCACACCACACCCAACAACGAUCAUGUCAGACUCAGUCACCUGGAGGCACCCGCAUCGUACUUACCCAGCAUGGAUUCAGUCUGCUCAGGCGGUCUGAUCCUCAAAUGGCUUAACGAUCCGGCGGCGAAAUCGUCGCACAAACACCACGACAAUGGUUCAA